This 3317-nucleotide long non-coding RNA is filed under the name Pelobates cultripes (western spadefoot toad). Lineage: Eukaryota; Metazoa; Chordata; Amphibia; Anura; Pelobatidae. The record is from RNAcentral.
GUUAAUUGUGAACAAGGUAUGGCAUGUUGGGAAAUGUACUGAUAAACUGUUGUGUGAAAGAAUAGUGAUCAGUGAGGACUUAUACCACCUGUGUAUAUGUCCUUAUAACAGACACUAAAAAUCUUUUGGUGGAAAACGAUUCAAAAUCGGAAAAAAACUAAAUAAAAAUGAUACAUGUGUUAUAUUUCUAAUUUGCAAAUACCUUAUUUCUAUCAGCAAACUUAUAGUUCAAUUAUUCAUUAUACCUAAAUAAAUAUAUAAAUAAGAUACACUGUUUUUGUACAAAAUUUAAUUUUAGUUGCAUAAAUUGUUAUUAGGAAGUUACUGAUAAUUUCCCAGAGUAGGGAAACCACCCCUGGUUACACCCCCACUCACACUCCUAAAAUUAAUGUGUCCUUAUUUUCCAUUUAAAACAUUGGGUGGUGUAAUUAGGAAAGGGACUUUUGGGACUAGCUCAGAGUACUGCAGCAAUUACUAAGGGAUAACACUUCCCAACCUGUGAUGAAAGGGAGGCUUCAUGCACAGAGCUUCAGACAAAAUGGUUUUAUUUCUGUACUUUUAAAUCAAAAGUGAAUAAGAUUGUACAAAUACACCCUGCUCCCGUGCCCUCUGAAGUGAAAUUCUAAAUUAAAUAGACUGUGAGUUAAAGGAAGUGUAAACAUUAGAUGACUCUUUACAGGAAGAGCUCAUGAAGGUUGCAUGUUUAAUGCAGGGAGGAGUGACUAGAGUUGCAUAAAAAAAAGUUAUUAAACUCCUAAAUAAAGGUAUACAACUAAGAAUAAAUGUACCUGGAAUCUAAUGCUGGCUUCCAUGCCUAUGUCCAACAUCACAGCCUCCAUCGCACAGUCCAAUCAAAUGCUUCUCCUAAAGGAGUGGGGUUGGACAAAGAGUGGGAGGGAGGGGCAAAAAAACAUAGGGAGACAAGGAGAAUGUGAAUGAAAGAAGUAAGGGAGGAAAAGAAGAUCAAGCAUCACCUUUUAGAUACUGCCUGCAAGGGAGAAGCUCAUUACAUCUGUUACCAGCUGCUGUGUGCGCUGAUGACAGGUCUAUUUUUUGCCAGAAUUAAUAUUGGGUAGAAAACAGGAAAAGAAGGUGUAGCGCCUGAAGUGUCCUUUUGGUAAAAAAAAAAAAAAAAAGGAAAUACAAAAAAGACUGAUAGUAUAGUUAAUAACAUCUUGAUAGAGUAAGGAAAAUAAAAACAAUGUACACUUACACUUUCAGAGAGCUUAAAGGAUCAAUAUAGGGUCAGGAACACAAACAUGUAUUCCUGACCCUAUAGGGUUAAAACCACCAUCUAGCCCCCCUGGGCUUCUCAUGCCUCUAUAAAAUGUAGUAAAUCUUACUUGUAUUCAAGCCUGCAGUUUCAUGAUUGGUCUCGGUUUCCCUUAGACCUGCCCACUGCCUGCUGACAUCAUCAGAAGUGGUGGCCUGAUCCAAUCACAAUGCUUCCCCAUAGGAUUGGCUGAGACUGACAAAGAGGCACAUCGGGGCAGAGCCAGCAUGAUUCAAACACAGCCCUGGCCAAUCAACAUCUCCUCAUAGAGAUGAAUUCAUUCAAUGAAUCUCUAUGAGGAAAGUUCAGUGUCUGCAUGCAGAGGGAGGAGAUACUGAAUGUUUGGAUGCAUUUUAGGCAGCCAUGACCCAGGAAGGCUCUCUAACAGCUAUCUGAGGAGUGGCCAGUGAAAUUAUCACUAGGCUGCAAUGUAAAAACUGCAUUUUCUCUGAAAAGACAGUGUUUACAGCAAAAAGCCUGAAGGGAAUGAUUCUACUCACCAGAACAAAUUCAAUAAGCUGUAGUUGUUCUGGUGACUAUAGUGUCCCUUUAAAUACAGCUCUGACUUGCACGACUAGGCUGAAUAAUCCCCUCCUAUGGAUAUAUUGUGGUACAGAUUCUUCAAGUUAUCCAUAUAGCGAUGGGUAUCCUCAUAAAGUAUUAAAGACAGAAUAAAGGUAUAUAGUGUAGUAUGUUAAGACUAAUAAGCAGGGGUAGGUAUGUAAAUAGGUGUACACUCACAUAUUAUGGAGCGUAAGUAUUGGCUCCAGAACUAAUGCGCAAAGUGGUAUGAUCCACACUCUAGGAUAUAGGUGAUGUGGAUUUUCCUCUGUGAAUAUAUAAAAUAAAAAUCCAUAAUACUGCAUACCAUAAAAUUAGAGUGUCCAAAAGGACAUGUAAGCCAUGGGAAAUUAAAAUUAAUUGGAUGCCCUGCCUGUGCUUUUUCAGUUGACAUAUACAUAAUUAACACCCACAGGACUGUAUCAGAAUCCUGUAUAUUUACUUAAUGUGAUUGUUUUUCCAGGAACCAAAAUAUAUCUUUCAAAUUGUGUCACGUUAUGGAUUCUUUUUUGAACUAAAAGCGUUACAACAUAAACCAGGUUUAUUCAGCUUCUACAUUCAGGUAAUCAAUAAGGAUAUCUGUGCUAUUUGCUAUUAACCUCUUUAAGUAUUACAGAACUGUGUUAGGUUGCUAAAGGGUUUAAAAUGUUGUCAAAGGAUACCACAUAGAAUAUUAUAUUAUAUAGAAUAUCUUGGACGGGUUUUCUUUAUGUUUAAUUUAUUUUUUAAUUGUAUAUCAGAGUAUUACCAGAUAUUCCAUUUUGAUCUUUAGAUGUAUCUGAUUUUAAAUGGACACUAUAGUUACAAGAAUGACUACAGCUUAAUGUAAUAGUUCGGAGCAUAGAGCCUCUCUAUGCAGGGUUGGCAGUGUUAAUGCUGCAUGUUCAGAGAAAAUACAGUGUUUACAUUGCUGCCUACAUCCACCUAUAGUAUCUGCCACCUGGACAGCCCCUAGGGCAGGGGUGCCUAAAACUCAGAUUCCCGGAUGUUGUAGAACUACAAAUCCCAUGAUGCUUUGCAUACCUUUAGAAUGGUUUAAGAAUGACAAAGCAUCAUGGAAGCUGUAGUUUUAAAACAUUUAGGGAUCCACCUUUUGGGCACCCUUGCUCUAGGGGGACUUGCUGGACGAGGUCCAAUCUUCGCAUGUUCUACGUUCAGUGUCUUUCCAUAGAAAUUCACUGAUUUAAUGCAGAUUUCUGCAGUGAUUUGCCAAUAAACUUAAAACGCUUAUAAUGGGGAUUGGAAAGCAUUUUCAGCAGUGAUGGAUAGAUAGAAAGAUAGAUAGAUCUUGGUUUUAUAUGAUUGUUAUUUGUUUUUUAAUAAUUACAACAUAUAUAAUUUAAUAGAGGUUGAAACACACAGACCCCAUGUUGUCUCAUCAAACUUUGGAGAAUGAAUGUUUCAGUCUGCGGCAGGAACGUGAAAUUCAAUAUGAGAUUAGAGUGCAGAGGUUGGCAGACAAAAAAUGGCAAGAAUUCACCAC